RNAcentral lists this ribosomal RNA (459 nucleotides) under uncultured bacterium. RNAcentral's name for it is "partial 16S ribosomal RNA". It matches the Rfam family "Bacterial small subunit ribosomal RNA", at positions 338 to 795 of the family's 1533-position model. The record is from RNAcentral.
CCUACGGGAGGCAGCAGUGAGGAAUAUUGGUCAAUGGUCGGGAGACUGAACCAGCCAAGCCGCGUGAGGGAUGAAGGUACAGAGUAUCGUAAACCUCUUUUGUCAGGGAACAAAGGCGGGGACGUGUCCCCGGAUGAGUGUACCUGAAGAAAAAGCAUCGGCUAACUCCGUGCCAGCAGCCGCGGUAAUACGGGGCAUGCGAGGGUUGUCCGGAUUUAUUGGGUUAAAAGGGUGGGAAGGCGGGCUGGUAAGUCAGAGGUAAAAGCCCGGGGCUCAACCCCGGCCCGCCGUUGAAACUGGCAGUCUCGAGUGGGAGAGAAGUAUGCGGAAUGCGCGGUGUAGCGGUGAAAUGCAUAGAUAUCGCGCAGAACUCCGAUUGCGAAGGCAGCAUGCCGGCUCCACACUGACGCUGAGGCACGAAAGCGUGGGUAUCGAACAGGAUUAGAUACCCCGGUAGUC